ACUCCUACGGAAGGCAGCAGUGGGGAAUCUUAGACAAUGGGGCGCAAGCCUGAUCUAGCCAUGCCGCGUGAGCGAUGAAGGCCUUAGGGUUGUAAAGCUCUUUCAGGGGGGAAGAUAAUGACUGUACCCCCAGAAGAAGCCCCGGCUAACUCCGUGCCAGCAGCCGCGGUAAU
This 173-nucleotide ribosomal RNA is filed under the name uncultured bacterium. RNAcentral's name for it is "partial 16S ribosomal RNA". It matches the Rfam family "Bacterial small subunit ribosomal RNA", at positions 335 to 524 of the family's 1533-position model. The record is from RNAcentral.